GAAAUGCGAUACGUAGUGUGAAUUGCAGAAUUCCGUGAAUCAUCGAAUCUUUGAACGCAUAUUGCGCCCGAGGCUUCGGUCGAGGGCAUGCCUGCCUCAGCGUCGGUUGACCCCUCUCGCCCGACCCUUCAGGGGGUCGGGCGGACCUGGCCGUCCCGCUGGCGACAGCGGGUCUGCUGCAGACCAGACGACGCGCAGCCUUGCUUACGCAAAGGCCGCUGGAUCGGUAGGUUCCCCUAGCAGGGUACAUGCCCGUCGAGUGGCUGGGCACCGGAUCACUGCGCGUCCCAACCACCGGAGCGGACGGGGGGCCCCACUCUCCCCCGCCCACUCCCCCUCAGUUCGACCUGAGUUCAGGCAAGACCACCCGCUCAACUUAA
This 380-nucleotide unclassified non-coding RNA is filed under the name uncultured fungus. Its description in RNAcentral is "sequence contains ITS1". The stretch from base 1 to 105 matches the Rfam family "5.8S ribosomal RNA", at positions 50 to 154 of the family's 154-position model. The record is from RNAcentral. Lineage: Eukaryota; Fungi.